This 524-nucleotide ribosomal RNA is filed under the name uncultured bacterium. RNAcentral's name for it is "bacterial SSU rRNA". It matches the Rfam family "Bacterial small subunit ribosomal RNA", at positions 984 to 1509 of the family's 1533-position model. The record is from RNAcentral.
ACAUCCAGCGAACUUUCCAGAGAUGGAUUGGUGCCUUCGGGAACGCUGAGACAGGUGCUGCAUGGCUGUCGUCAGCUCGUGUUGUGAAAUGUUGGUUAAGUCCCGNAACGAGCGCAACCCUUAUCCUUUGUUGCCAGCGAUUCGGUCGGGAACUCAAAGGAGACUGCCGGUGAUAAACCGGAGGAAGGUGGGGAUGACGUCAAGUCAUCAUGGCCCUUACGAGUAGGGCUACACACGUGCUACAAUGGCGCAUACAAAGAGAAGCGACCUCGCGAGAGCAAGCGGACCUCAUAAAGUGCGUCGUAGUCCGGAUCGGAGUCUGCAACUCGACUCCGUGAAGUCGGAAUCGCUAGUAAUCGUGGAUCAGAAUGCCACGGUGAAUACGUUCCCGGGCCUUGUACACACCGCCCGUCACACCAUGGGAGUGGGUUGCAAAAGAAGUAGGUAGCUUAACCUCCGGGAGGGCGCUUACCACUUUGUGAUUCAUGACUGGGGUGAAGUCGUAACAAGGUAAGCGUAGCGAG